UGCUGCGCGGCACGGCGCGCAAGUGCAGCGCCAUCUCCUGCGUGGCGCGGGUAUCGAAAUACGAUUUCUCGCGUAGUGC
This 79-nucleotide transfer RNA is filed under the name compost metagenome. RNAcentral's name for it is "tRNA-Arg". The record is from RNAcentral.